Molecule: ribosomal RNA, 431 nt
Filed under: uncultured bacterium
Lineage: Bacteria
Description: bacterial SSU rRNA
Rfam family: Bacterial small subunit ribosomal RNA
Source: RNAcentral
ACGAACGCUGGCGGCAGGCUUAACACAUGCAAGUCGAACGCAUCCUUCGGGGUGAGUGGCAGACGGGUGAGUAACGCGUGGGAACGUGCCCUUCAGUUCGGGAUAACCCAGGGAAACUUGGGCUAAUACCGGAUACGUGCGAGAGCAGAAAGAUUUAUCGCUGAAGGAUCGGCCCGCGUCUGAUUAGCUAGUUGGUGGGGUAAUGGCCCACCAAGGCGACGAUCAGUAGCUGGUCUGAGAGGAUGAUCAGCCACAUUGGGACUGAGACACGGCCCAAACUCCUACGGGAGGCAGCAGUGGGGAAUAUUGGACAAUGGGCGCAAGCCUGAUCCAGCCAUGCCGCGUGAGUGAUGAAGGCCUUAGGGUUGUAAAGCUCUUUCGUCCGGGACGAUAAUGACGGUACCGGAAGAAGAAGCCCCGGCUAACUUCGU